Vicia faba (fava bean) is the source of this 243-nucleotide non-coding RNA. NCBI's taxonomy places the organism in Eukaryota, Viridiplantae, Streptophyta, Magnoliopsida, Fabales, Fabaceae. The record is from the annotation of a GenBank genome assembly.
AUGGGUGUCCGUCAUGUAUUAGGUACAAGUACAUAUCUGAGGUUACCUUCGAUGGGUCAACCUAUGUCGAAGGCUGGUAAGGAGGUUAUGAUUAAAUCAGUUCUUCAGGAAAUUCCAUCAUAUGUUAUGAGCGUGUUUAUAUUGCCUGAUACUUUGGUGGAGGAAAUAGAGAAGUUGUUGAAUUCUUUCUGGUGGGGAGGAGCUCCUUCUUACCAGAUCGAGCUUCGGAAACUACAAACUUAG